GGUGGCUUAGUGGUAGAGCGCUUGCCUCGCAUGCAUGAGGCUCUGGGUUCGAUUCCUCAGCACCA
RNAcentral lists this transfer RNA (65 nucleotides) under Dipodomys ordii (Ord's kangaroo rat). It matches the Rfam family "tRNA". From Rfam's summary of the family: Transfer RNA (tRNA) molecules are approximately 80 nucleotides in length. The record is from Rfam by way of RNAcentral. Lineage: Eukaryota; Metazoa; Chordata; Mammalia; Rodentia; Heteromyidae.